AAGAGCUGUUUACUAGCUUGCCAUCUCUCUCACAUAAUCUGUAUUGAUUAUUUAUGGUCAACAUUUAUGUGGCUAAUGCUUUCAUCUUUCCCUUUAUAACUAUUUAAACAUGCACUACUUUUUAGUAAAUUUUUACUUAUGUUAUAGUUUGAAUUGUGGCACUUCAGCAUUCUUGAGAAAUACAGAACUAAAGUAAAUGCAUGACUCUUUGUAGGAACGUCAGUAAAAACUUCUUAGUUCUUUCUUUCUUGUUCUGCUGACUUUUGCUUGGGAGACAGGGUCUUAACAUGUACUACAGGCUUUCCUAGACCUGAUUGCAUAGACUAGGCUGGGAUUUAACUCAGACACAGAUAUACCUGCCUCUGUCUUCUGAGUCCUGCUGUUAAAGGCAUGAGCCAAUACACCCAGAUUGUCCAUCUUAUUUUUCUUUAUAUUUAGUAAUUGUUGAUACAAUUUCUAUUGUGUGUACUCUGUACUGUUGAUCUGUUUACUUCUCUCUCUAUAUUUGUUAAUGAGCAUUUCUCUUGCAAGGUGAUAUCCCAUUCAAAGGGUACAGAAAUGACAGAAGUGAUCCUCCUAUUCAGCUUCCUUCAAAAGGGACUUGUUGAUUACAUAUAAUUUGUAUGUCAUGAAGUAAGUGUGGGGAGCAUCAGAAUUAUAUGACUAUACUCUCAAAGAAGUAUACAUUUACAAUGUUGUAAGUAUUAUGGUUUCUCUUGUACACGUGUAUGGGAUAUUUUAGAAUGCAGUGACCUAUGAUGAUGUGCAUGUCGACUUCACUUGGGAAGAGUGGACUUUACUGGAUCCUUCCCAGAAGAAUCUCUACAAAGAUGUGAUGCUGGAAACCUACAGGAACCUCACUAUUAUAGGAUACAAUUGGGAAGACCAUAAUACUGAAGAGCAUCUUCAAAGUUCUAGAGGAGAUGAAAGUCAUGAACAAAAUCAAACUGGAAAGAAACAUACUAUAUACACUCAAUGUGUUAAAGAUCUUUCAUAUCCCAGUACUCUUCAAAUGUAUGAAAAAGAACAUACUGGAGAGAAACCCUAUGAAUAUAAUCAAUGUGGUAAAGCUUUUGAAUUUCAAAACUAUCUUCAAGAACAUAAAAGAAAGCAUACUGGAGAGAAACCC
This is a long non-coding RNA of Peromyscus eremicus (cactus mouse), 1129 nucleotides long. RefSeq lists it as uncharacterized. The record is from RefSeq and is a predicted model, not a curated record. The transcript has 3 exons. Lineage: Eukaryota; Metazoa; Chordata; Mammalia; Rodentia; Cricetidae.